Delphinapterus leucas (beluga whale) is the source of this 4274-nucleotide non-coding RNA. The record is from RefSeq and is a predicted model, not a curated record. NCBI's taxonomy places the organism in Eukaryota, Metazoa, Chordata, Mammalia, Artiodactyla, Monodontidae.
UACACCGAUUUACAUUGCCACCAGCAGAGCACCAGUGUCGCCUUUUUUCCACACCCUCAUCGACACUUGUUACGUCUUAUCUUGUUGAUAAUAGCCAUUCUGAUCAGAUAUAGGAUGCAAACAUUUCUUCCAUUAUGUAGGUUGCCUUUUCAUUUUGUUGAUGGUUCCUUUGCUGUACAGAAGCUUUUUAGUUUGAUGUAGGCCCAUUUGUUUAUUUUUACUUUUGUUGCUUAGUUCUUAUUUUUUGUUGUCUGCUUUUGCCACACUGUGACUGACUCUUCUUUUGUCCAAAAGACAGGACACUGGCUGGUUAAUUAUGAAAGUAACAUUCACCACACAAACCCAGCAGAAAGAUUGUGGGGAAAACCAUUUCAGUUUAGGGUUAGACCCACCAGUUAGCGUUUCUCUUCACUUGCAGUUGAAAACACCUUAAUAUUGUGACAGGUAUUUAACAAGGAUAAGGUGAUAGUGGGAGACUCCUUCCAUCCAAACCCAACCUCCCCUAGAUUUGGAGUCUCAAUUAGAAAAAAUUAACUUCAAGAAAACAGUUUACCAAAAAUGUUUAAAUUCCUAGGUGAAAGAGGUUUUCUUACUCUUUUCUUUUUUUCUAGGCUCUGACCCCAUGGAAUAAAAGAGAUCCUAUUUAGGGACAGUUAGUUUUGCUGCCCAGAAGAUUCUCUCUCUUCUUUGGUGGGCUUUUAGAAAACUUUGGGUUACUUGAAUCCCAAAUUAACCCACGUUGUGCAACAUGUAAUCAAUUAGGGAGAUUUUUCAAUGGAAAUCAUCCAAUUUUGUAAGAAUUGGUUGACACUUUUCCCCUUUCUAAUAUGAUACACUUCCAUAGCUUCAUUCAUUCCUCUCCUAAUACUCUCUCAAAUAGAAGUUUCAAAUCAUUUGCCAUUUAGCAAGUGUUUUCUCCUAUCUUGUGAUUUACUCCUGUAACAUUUAAAGUAGACUCUACAGUUUACUGGAAGGUGUGACUAUGAUGCAAUUUCAGCCCUCCUGGCCUGUUCACAAUGGAAGUUUUGCCGUAAAAGAUGAAUUACGAUGUAAUAGCUGAGUAGAACUAAAAAAGUCAAUGCAGUUGCCCUUUGGUGCAUUUGGGGGCUAAUGAUAUUUAAGUCAAUAUGGCUGAAAAAGAAAAAUAAAUGUCAAACCAAAUACCAAAGAAUGAAUAACCUACUGCAAGAUCGCUAGAAUCAUAAGCAGUUACCGAUGCUCUAAGAUUGCUCUGAGAGCCCCGUCAAUACACGAGUCUCACGGUAAUUAAAAAAUUCUAAAAAGCCAAUACUUACUUUGUCAAACACACAAAUGGAAAUUGGAAAUCCAACCUGGAAUGUGAACAAAUUAACAGAGUUCUGAUUGUGCUCAAGCUGGGGCAGUUAGCAAUUAUUCUUGAAAGAAUAUUUCUGUCAAGAACUUUCUUCUAAAACUCAAAAUACUAGAGAAUCACACAAGCUGGAAAGGACUUAAGAAACUAUUUAGUUGCUUCGUUUUAUAUAUUUGGAAGCUGUGGCUCAGAAAAGUUACGUGACUUGCCCAUGGUCACGUUGCCAUGUGACUGUGACUCUUGGCUGGCCUGGUGAUCUUUAAAUUUGCUUAUCUUGAGGUCCUUGUCUUAUGUAUCAUCCCAAUUCUCUCUUCUAUUGUAAAAGAGCUCCUCCUUUAAAAAAUCUUGUCUCUUUGGCAUAUUAAUUAUUUUAGGCUGGUUAUUUUCUAGGAAACAGCAGACGUGAAAAAUUCUGAAAACUAAUUAGGAGUUACCCUUUUGUAAGAAACGUUUAUAUUUGUAAGGGAAAUCUCUAUACGCAAGGGUGUCUCCUUCCAUGUACCAGGAAGAGAAAGAUGACCAAAUCUCUAGAAAUUCUUAACCAUGAAGAAGGCAACGACUUAAAUCUGCAUAACGCCCUUACCAUUGUUUACUGUGCUUUUCCUGAUAAGCUCGCAUCAGAGAGUUACUGACUCUCCCAUCCUCAACAUCCUCUUUUGUCUUUAGCUGAAGAUGGUAUUUAAGAUGAGGGCUCAGUUCUCCUUUGUCUCUCCCGUGUGUAUUCACGUGACUCAACUUUUUGUUUGAUUUUCUCCUGUUAAUAUGUCUCAUGUCAAUUUACUUCUUAGACCAGCCCGAAGAACUUAGAAGGGUAGAGGAAGAUACCUUCCUCCUUGGUACAAUGUUAUAAUGUCAGUAAGUGUUGAAUGGAUGUCCCCUUGGCUCUAACACAUAAAUAAGUAAGGUGAAUUCUACAGAGAGAUUAUAGGCCAUAGGGCUUUCAGUGAGGCCAGACGGGCAGCUCCUCCGUAGGAGCUGGAUAAGGGCUCACAGGUGUUCAGUGAAAAAGACAGCAAUCCAACAUCCACAGCCUACACAGGAAUAAAAGAAACAAAGGAAAUUGAGUAUUCACAGCUCCUUAAAUAAGAAGGCCAGGCCCAUAUCAAAAGCCAGAGAACAGAGAUGGAAGAACUUGAAUACCAAAGACAGGAAAAUGGACAAAGAUAUCAGAAGAAUGAAGAAAGAGGGUGACAUCAAAGAUGACCAGAUGUUGUCAAAAGGCUGGAAGUAAAAAGCAGGCACUUGAUCCCAAGCUGCCCGCGUUUUGGUUUCCCUGGUACUGAGGACUGCCGUGCACCCUACUUCUUCUCAGCCCGGUUAACCCAGCUUCUCUGAACUGUCCCCAGGCUUCUGGAUAUUGCUCACCUAUGUGCUGGAUCUUCGCAGACCCCACAGCACUACAGAAUUCCAAGGAUGUCCACCCCUGUAAGAUCAGGUACUAGAACUCCAGGUUCUGCUACUUCAACUGGAUUCCUUGCAACCUCAUGACUGUGUAUGACUCGAUCCACAGUCAUGAGUCUCUUCCUAGGUAAAGUGAGUAAAUCAAUCAAUCUGUAUUUUAACAGAUACCUUCUGAAAACAUGCUUCAACCAAAAGUGGAAUUCUAAUGGUAGACACGUGGGCAUGGUGGGUUGUUAGAGCAGAGGUUUGUGGGUGGGGGACUUUGGGUACCUAAGUAGCGCACCACACACUGGAUCAACAACCCCAUCCCUUACGGAUACAGCAGACACGCCCUCCAAGAGCCAAAGUGGGUGUGCAGAACGCAUGUCCUAGAAAGGAAGAGAAUUUGGUAAUGGUUUCUUAGGAGAAAUAAGUCCCAAGUGGAAGUGGACGUUUGAGCAGAGUUUUAAAAGAAAAGUCAGGCUGGCACACCGGAAGCCUCCUGGGGUGAGGUUGAACCUCUGCAAAGCUCUGGUUUCUCAUUGCCCAUCUUGUUUUUCUCAGUUACAAAUCAGUCUGGCCCUUCCCUGUUUUCUUUAAUCAUCCUCCAUCAUUAGAGAGAUCAUCUCAGCCCAGAGACAGACCGCUAUUAUUUUGGCUUCUGGUUUGUAUUGUGUUAACUGCCUGAGAAGAUGUGCUGUCCGUCUCCUCGGGUAUAAAAUGGGGAUAACACCCCUAUCCUGGUGUGGUUGUUAUAAGGCUGGAACGUGAGGGGAAUUAAACAAAGUUGGGUUCCUGCCCCCUUGCCAAAAAUACUUUGACUAAUUUCGAAUACUUUGUUCAUUCAGUGAUUAUUUAUUGAGCACCUACUAUGGGCCAGGCACUGUUCUGAGUACCGUAGAGGUAGCAGUGGAUAAGAUAAAGUUCCUGUCGUUGUAAGGCUGACUUUCUAUUGGGAAGAAAUAGGCAAGGACCUGGUAAGCAAAUAAAUAAUAUAAACUCAGAUCAUCAGUGAAGAUAACAAACAGGACAAUAAAGUAAAGAAUGAGUGUGGGGUUGGAAGGAUCACAUACACAUCUUUCCAUGCUAAGCUAAGGUUUUAAACCAGUGUGCUAAAUUUUCCCAUAAGUGCUCAAACUGCUAAAUACAGUGAUUAAUAUGCCAGGACUCACUACUACCAGAUCAUCUUCCAGACCACGGGUCCUGAAUUGGGGUGGCAGACCUUAGUCUCUACAUUCAAGUUGCAUUUGCAUAGCAGGCUCAUCAGAGGGCCCAGGUGUAACUUGCCAUCUCAGUAGACCCUGAUGUCCACAGAGGGGCCACAUGAGGUUAAACCCAGGACCAGGUAUUUCAAGGGUGGCUGGCAGGGCUCUGCCUGGUUGUACACAGAACACCAAAAGUUAAACUAAGGUCUCUGACCCCUAGAUCCUUGGAGCCCCGGAGAGGCUACUGCUUUGUGUAGAUGAAGCUAAAGCCAGGAUCGUGACUGAAUUACAACCAGGAAACCACGUGUGGCAGCUGAACUGCUGGAGGUGUUGAGCCAGGACAGAGCAGCUCCUAAGUU